RNAcentral lists this ribosomal RNA (495 nucleotides) under Paraphaeosphaeria neglecta. RNAcentral's name for it is "eukaryotic LSU rRNA". It matches the Rfam family "Eukaryotic large subunit ribosomal RNA", at positions 77 to 576 of the family's 3401-position model. Lineage: Eukaryota; Fungi; Ascomycota; Dothideomycetes; Pleosporales; Didymosphaeriaceae. The record is from RNAcentral.
GCCCUAGUACGGCGAGUGAAGCGGCAACAGCUCAAUUUGAAAUCUGGCUCUCUUUGGGGGUCCGAGUUGUAAUUUGCAGAGGAUGCUUUGGCAUUGGCGGCGGUCUAAGUUCCUUGGAACAGGACAUCACAGAGGGUGAGAAUCCCGUACGUGGUCGCCUGCCCUUGCCGUGUAAAGCUCCUUCGACGAGUCGAGUUGUUUGGGAAUGCAGCUCUAAAUGGGAGGUAAAUUUCUUCUAAAGCUAAAUACUGGCCAGAGACCGAUAGCGCACAAGUAGAGUGAUCGAAAGAUGAAAAGUACUUUGGAAAGAGAGUCAAAAAGCACGUGAAAUUGUUGAAAGGGAAGCGCUUGCAGCCAGACUUGCCCGCAGUUGCUCACCUAGGCUUUCGCCUGGGGCACUCUUCUGCGGGCAGGCCAGCAUCAGUUUGGGCGGUUGGAUAAAGGCCUCUGUCACGUAUCUCCCUUCGGGGUGACCUUAUAGGGGGAGGCGCAAUG